AAAAGGGAAAGUUGAGGGUCCUGAUGGCCUGAUUGUGAUAGUGUAUUUGGGUAGUGAGCAUGACUGUACAGAAGUGAUAGAGGACACAUCGUGCAUCCCAGGUGAGAGCUUGAAGCUGCGAUUUCCCUUUGUGCUCUUCACCGAAAAAAAUGAGCAUGCUGCUGCUGGACUGAGGUGUUUGAGUUAGAAGAAUAGUGUCCUG
This is a non-coding RNA of Sturnus vulgaris (Common starling), 202 nucleotides long. NCBI's taxonomy places the organism in Eukaryota, Metazoa, Chordata, Aves, Passeriformes, Sturnidae. The record is from RefSeq and is a predicted model, not a curated record.